GGAGAGAUGGCCGAGUUGGUUUAAGGCGCAGUCCUGGAAAGACUGUUUAUCAGAAAUGGUAACAAGGGUUCGAAUCCCUUUCUCUCCG
Molecule: transfer RNA, 88 nt
Filed under: Elusimicrobiota bacterium
Lineage: Bacteria; Pseudomonadati; Elusimicrobiota
Description: Elusimicrobia bacterium (gut metagenome) tRNA-Ser
Rfam family: tRNA
About the family: Transfer RNA (tRNA) molecules are approximately 80 nucleotides in length. Their secondary structure includes four short double-helical elements and three loops (D, anti-codon, and T loops). Further hydrogen bonds mediate the characteristic L-shaped molecular structure. tRNAs have two regions of fundamental functional importance: the anti-codon, which is responsible for specific mRNA codon recognition, and the 3' end, to which the tRNAs corresponding amino acid is attached (by aminoacyl-tRNA synthetases). tRNAs cope with the degeneracy of the genetic code in two manners: having more than one tRNA (with a specific anti-codon) for a particular amino acid; and 'wobble' base-pairing, i.e. permitting non-standard base-pairing at the 3rd anti-codon position.
Source: RNAcentral